Molecule: ribosomal RNA, 429 nt
Filed under: Chloroflexota bacterium
Lineage: Bacteria; Bacillati; Chloroflexota
Description: Chloroflexi bacterium partial 16S ribosomal RNA
Rfam family: Bacterial small subunit ribosomal RNA
Source: RNAcentral
UGGGGAAUAUUGCACAAUGGGCGCAAGCCUGAUGCAGCCAUGCCGCGUGUGUGAAGAAGGCCUUCGGGUUGUAAAGCACUUUCAGCGGGGAGGAAGGCGAUAAGGUUAAUAACCUUGUCGAUUGACGUUACCCGCAGAAGAAGCACCGGCUAACUCCGUGCCAGCAGCCGCGGUAAUACGGAGGGUGCAAGCGUUAAUCGGAAUUACUGGGCGUAAAGCGCACGCAGGCGGUCUGUCAAGUCGGAUGUGAAAUCCCCGGGCUCAACCUGGGAACUGCAUUCGAAACUGGCAGGCUGGAGUCUUGUAGAGGGGGGUAGAAUUCCAGGUGUAGCGGUGAAAUGCGUAGAGAUCUGGAGGAAUACCGGUGGCGAAGGCGGCCCCCUGGACAAAGACUGACGCUCAGGUGCGAAAGCGUGGGGAGCAAACAGG